RNAcentral lists this non-coding RNA (314 nucleotides) under Oryctes borbonicus. RNAcentral describes it as "Eukaryotic large subunit ribosomal RNA". It matches the Rfam family "Eukaryotic large subunit ribosomal RNA", at positions 675 to 954 of the family's 3401-position model. Lineage: Eukaryota; Metazoa; Arthropoda; Insecta; Coleoptera; Scarabaeidae. The record is from Rfam by way of RNAcentral.
CUAGCAUGUGCGCGAGUCAUUGGGACUCGAACGAAACCUAAAGGCGUAAUGAAAGUGAAGGUUCGCCUCGCGCGAACCGAGGGAGGAUGGUCGAUCGUUCGAGGUCGUCCCGCACUCCCUGGGCGUCUCGUUCUCAUCGCGAGAAGAGGCGCACCAAGAGCGUACACGCUGGGACCCGAAAGAUGGUGAACUAUGCCUGGUCAGGACGAAGUCAGGGGAAACCCUGAUGGAGGUCCGUAGCGAUUCUGACGUGCAAAUCGAUCGUCGGAACUGGGUAUAGGGGCGAAAGACUAAUCGAACCAUCUAGUAGCUGG